UGGGGGGGGGGGCUAUGAACACGUGGACCUCUGGCUCGGGAGCACUUGCAAAAGAAUCUACAGCCGCCCACAGCGAGCACCGGAACGAUGUCAGAAGAGACCUAUGUGCUGGCAGUGAAAGGACGGAGGAACUUCAGAACCCUUAAAAUGCUAAAUGAAGCAUUUGAGAUCAUGGAUUGGGUGAAGAAGGGACGUCCGUUUCAGAGCGAGCAGCCCGGUCAGGAUGGUAACAACCAGUCUGACGUUGAUGAUGACGACGACGACGAUCAUGACGAGGAUGCUGAGCCCAAGCCUCGGGGAGGCUAGAGGUCCGCCAUCGUUCCUGUAUAUGCGCACCGGCGAGAGCCUCGGAGAGGUACCUCCAGGAAAAAAAGGUUAAAUAAAAAUUGUGUCAGUUCAACUUUCCUGUGUCCUUAUUCUCGGUUUUGGGUUAGUUUCCAAAACAACAAGCAAUAUCAACCAAAUAGCGCGAGACAUGUUGCUCCUAGUUUCCUGUGAAUUUAGAGCAAAACCAUUCUUUCCUACAACACAUUGUCAAAAGUUCCCAGCCCCCAGGUAAAAACAAGUUAUAAAGAGCAAAAACUAUUUAUUUAACUGACCAGUGUUCCCAUUCUAUAAGUGCACAAAUUAAAACAAGUUAUAUAAACAAGCUAAACAGGUUAUAUAACUGACCACUUUUUUUCCAAAAUACAUUGUCAAAGAGCAAAAAUAAUUAUUUAAUAUAUCAUUAUCGUUGAAUACAAAAAAGAACCUCCUAGCUCCAGAUAGCUCCCCGGGCGAUUUUCUAUUUCUGAGUAGUUUUGUUAUUUAAUAAAUGACCUUAAGAAAACGAAAUUGAUAGAAAGGAUAUAAGUUUUAAAUAAUGUCAUUAUCAUUGUUAUAAUAUAACAAAUUAGAUAUUUCAAUUUUGUUAUUUAGUUAUUUAAUUAUUUUCGGUGGGAAAAUACAUGUGGCAUCCCGAUCCACACUGCACUCCAGUAGAUGGCAGUAAUCAAUAAGUUGCUUGUCCAAACGGCAUAAACAAUAAUAAAAAGAAGAGUCUUCCAUAAGUAGGUGGCGCCCUCCCGUCAAGCACUGGAUCUCCUAACACAUGGAAAGACCUCAACGCACACAGCAGCAGCAGUAGUAGUAGGAACGACAUCAAAAUUGCUCCGUAUUUCGGCACGGUGAAAAUGGACCCAAAAGCACCAAAGCCCUGCCAUAUCCUUGCGACAAUGGAAAUAGGCUCUGAAUCGCUGGUGUCUGUCCUGUCGGCCCAAGGACCGGCCUUUUCUGGAGCCAAUCCUCUCCCACCCUGGGAUGGGCGAAGGAGAAAGGAGGGGAGGUUGACAUGGUCUGCUGAAACACCCUGUUCGAGCUCGCCCGGGAGAUCGUCUGACCCACGUCCAGGCCACGCCCUUGUUCACGCGUCCCGUCUCGGAAGAAUGCCAGGCUUUGAAUCGCCGGUCUCUGUCCUGUCGACCCAAGGACUGGCCUUUUCUGGAGCCAAUCGUCUCCCACCCUGGGAUGGGCGAAGGGGAGGAGGAGGAGAACAAGAAGUAAAGGCACAGGUUUCUGCGCAGCUCGCGGCUGUGAUCCCUGUCAGUGGACAACCAGAGACUGAUUUUUUUUCUAUUUAGCUUUUUUUUAUUGAUUUAAAAACUGUCACUUGAUUCACUUUAUUAAAGAAAAAAAAACUGCCUGCACUGAGAUUUUAUUUAUUAUUCAUUAGUUUCUCAAUGGUUCAGUGUUAUGCAAUUACACCCGUCUUAUCAUGAAGAGUAUUAUUAAUUAUCAUUUGGCAUUGUACCGUAAUAAUAUAGCAUUAAAAAUCAAAGUGUAGCUUUAAAGAAAAAUGAUUCAAAUAUUUACGAUUAAGGGCUAAAAGCCUGUAACGUUCCAUUAGCAGUUAUGAACCUAUUUAUACCGGCGGUGAAGAUUCUCAGUCAUCCAGGUCAUGGUCAUUCCAAA
This is a long non-coding RNA of Fundulus heteroclitus (mummichog), 1950 nucleotides long. RefSeq lists it as uncharacterized. Lineage: Eukaryota; Metazoa; Chordata; Actinopteri; Cyprinodontiformes; Fundulidae. The record is from RefSeq and is a predicted model, not a curated record. The transcript is spliced from 7 exons.